CCUACGGGUGGCAGCAGUGGGGAAUAUUGGGCAAUGGGCGCAAGCCUGACCCAGCAAUGCCGCGUGAAGGAAGAAGGCUUUCGGGUUGUAAACUUCUUUGACAGGGGAAGAGCAGAAGACGGUACCCUGAAAACAAGCCACGGCUAACUACGUGCCAGCAGCCGCGGUAAUACGUAGGUGGCAAGCGUUGUCCGGAUUUACUGGGUGUAAAGGGCGUGUAGCCGGGAAGGCAAGUCAGCGGUAAAAUCGCGGGGCUCAACCUCGCUCCGCCGUUGAAACUGGCGUUCUUGAGUGGGCGAGAAGUAUGCGGAAUGCGUGGUGUAGCGGUGAAAUGCAUAGAUAUCACGCAGAACUCCGAUUGCGAAGGCAGCAUACCGGCGCCCAACUGACGCUGAAGCACGAAAGCGUGGGUAUCGAACAGGAUUAGAUACCCGGGUAGUC
Molecule: ribosomal RNA, 441 nt
Filed under: uncultured bacterium
Lineage: Bacteria
Description: partial 16S ribosomal RNA
Rfam family: Bacterial small subunit ribosomal RNA
Source: RNAcentral